Molecule: small RNA, 323 nt
Filed under: Histoplasma capsulatum var. duboisii H88
Lineage: Eukaryota; Fungi; Ascomycota; Eurotiomycetes; Onygenales; Ajellomycetaceae
Description: Histoplasma capsulatum H88 hypothetical RNA
Source: RNAcentral
GCAAUGUUUUAGCUUUCUAUACCAGACGGUUUAUUAUUUACUCCCUAUUAGGUACAGCAUUGGAAAGUUGGAGAAUAUAUAAGAGCCAGUGAGUUUGCCGCAGUGAAGUUGCCAAAUGGAAACUGGAUCUUUAUGACCAAAGUGACUUUCUCAUCUAUUUACCUUUCGGAUCACCUCAAGAAAGUCUCGAUAACAAAAAAGUUGCCAUCAAUGAUUAUUCAAUUUUUGUCUAAAAUAUGCGUCUGUUUACUCCUGAUUAAGCCUGUGUUUACAUCCCCUUUGAAAUCUGAAUCGCCUUCCGCAGAUCUCCCCCCUUCUCUCGA